UGGCCCGUGGUGGAAUUGGCAACACGUCUGGCUCUGGACCAGAAGAUUCCAGGUUCGAGUCCUGGCGGGCCAA
This 73-nucleotide transfer RNA is filed under the name Gemmatimonadota bacterium. RNAcentral's name for it is "Gemmatimonadetes bacterium tRNA-Gln". It matches the Rfam family "tRNA". Rfam says of the family: Transfer RNA (tRNA) molecules are approximately 80 nucleotides in length. Their secondary structure includes four short double-helical elements and three loops (D, anti-codon, and T loops). RNAcentral also lists the same sequence under 10 other names. Lineage: Bacteria; Pseudomonadati; Gemmatimonadota. The record is from RNAcentral.